UAAAGGCUAAUGAGAAAUCAACAUUUCCUUAAGUAAACUACUAAAAAGUACAAAUGCAAAACAUGAUUUAAAUGGUGGUUUCCUGCUUGUGGAUUUAAUUAAAUGGUCACUGUAUAAAGGGACUUUUUUUCUCCUGAGAACCAUGCGAUAGACCUGAUCCCCUCAGUAAUUUAUAGCUCAAUUUUCUGUCCAUGCAGGUAAUGGAAACUGUGUCUGAACCAUGAGGAAUCUUCCCAGGAUCAGAUCUGUGAAUCCAGAAUGCAAAUGAAGGAAGGUUUUCUGGAGGUUUCGGUGCUCAAUUGUCUCAAACUGAAGCCACUCAAAAACCCGUUUCAGAGCCUCUGGGAGAGAAAGUGAGAUGGAGAGUCAGCACUCAUUUAAUAUAAACAGAGAAGAGAGAAGAAGAUGAAGCUGUAGGCACUGCACUGGAGAACAAGAGACACUGUCAGGCAGUUUGGAAAGUGUUACUGUCCCACCAAGAAGCCCAUCUUAUUGUUCCACACCCUGUCACUCUUCUUGGAUCAAAAUGAUAUUGCCCUAGGAAGAAAUACACAGCUAUUCAUUUACUUCUGAUACGAUGCCUUUGCCUUGAGCAUCAUGCUGUCUUCCCCUAAAAAAGCAAGUUUCACUUCCAUAGCAAUUAAUCAUUAUACAUAAGGAGUUUAGUUUGUUUAAACAUCUUUCACCAACUUCAUGAUGCACAGAGAUUUGAGAUACUUAUGAUUAGCUCUUGAUAAAACAAGAGGAGGAGGAUGUACUUUUUAAGGCUGGAUUCUGCCACUCUUCCAAUGAGUAAUUCCUUAUUCUGCAAAUAGUCCUGUUGACAUUAACUACUCUGCACAGAGCAAGAGCAGCAGAAUGUGGCUCUUAACAAAGGAGGUUCCAAACUCGUGAUCAGUUCAUCUGGGGCUGAAACGUGAAGAGACAAGAAGAAUGAUGGACAAAUUCAACCGAGGCUAUCCCAGGUCUCAGUGCAGCAAGACUCUCAAGGCAUCAGGUUAGUUACAUGCCUAGUCUUCAACAGAAACUACCCUGAAGUCUUAAAGGACAAACAGCCUGGGCAGAUGAAGCAACUCAUCCAGGAUACAUACAAUUCUGGUGAGCCUCACUCUCUAUGUGAAGUUACCUAAACUGUCAAUACAUUAGAUCAUGAUCAACUCACACCAGUUUUCAACAUGAGAAAGAAACCCUGUGGCUGUACCAGUUCUGCAGCUUCUUUGCUAUAUUUGUCACGUCCCACUGAAUAAGACUUCCCUUGAGGUUUUAUUUUUAGAUAUUGGAGGAGAUCCCUCUUCCCAUUAGUGACUGAUAAUUCUCUUCUCUUCCCUUCCAGGAAUGGGUUCCCCUCAUGCCCUCCUGGUGAUGGAUUAGCCCAUUGACAGGUUGACCAUUUCUGUUGCCCUGGGCUGAAAUAAAGGUCUCAUCUAUACUACAGACAUAACAAUAUUUAAACAGGAUUGUGAAAAAUGGUUGUAACACAGGCACCUACUAGGGUCAAAACAUAAUUCUCCAUCACUGUUAUGACUGGGGAUGUAAAUAGGGUUUAAAAUAGUAACAGUUUAACCUAUUAAAAUUCUAUCAGUUAAACAGUUAACGGUUAAGAAGUUCACAGAGGCGAGAAACUAGGAGUGCAAGGGGUCCCUGCUGCCGGCCCCGCAUCCCAGGUGCAAAGCCAGCAGCAGAAUUUAAUCAUUAACCGAAACCAAUAAGACUAACGCUUAUCAGUUAACCAGUUAAACUUUUACAUCCCCAGUUAUGACAUUUUUGUACUGUCUAGACCAGCAAAAAUAAGUCAUAAUCAUGUUUAAAUAUGGCUGUGCUGAAAAGGGUUUUUUUUUUUGUAGUGGCAACAGGGCUGAAAAAUAUGUCCCCUUCCUGCUCAGCCUAAAGAGAUGCAUUAAUGAAUUGAUGAAUUUUCCCCCAUGGCUACAGUCUUUGUCUACACUAGAAAUUCCUGGAAAUCUUCCACUGUCGCAAUGCCUCUAGAGGUAGCAGUGGGGAGCACGACUGUGUAGUAGACAUCAUUCAGGUGCCCACUGACGUUUACUGUACUGUUUACACCUACCCUGAGCGGCAUUAGACAACAAGUGGUGGUAAAGCACUAGUGCUCUGAUGACAUUAGUGCUUCCACUGUUGCUAUCGCUGGUGGGAGAAAUUUUAUAAUCAAGAUUAGACGCAGCCACUACCUGCCUCAGAGCCACUAUCUGCUCUACUCACCAAACAGGCGACACUUCACAAGUACAUCCUUAGAGGAGCUGGGAGAAAGAGUCCAAAUGUUCUGAGAGCCAUCCAGGGGGCCUCAGAGAAACACACAUGACUAAGCCAAAUGCAAAUGAGAACCUGCUAUGAAAAAUUCUGUGUAUUCUCACUUUCCCCUGAUCGCUGGAUGGUGCCUCUCAAUAACUGUUUCCUGAACGUUGAGACUGUCAGGUGAAUAAGUCACUGCUUCAGACCCAAAAUCUCAUCAAGAACACAGUAACUGGAAGAGCUGGAAAUGUCCCAGUUUCUGUUUUAAAGCAUUUGGCACCGACUUGAGUAAAAAUAUCUCCCUUUCAAAA
Chelonoidis abingdonii (Abingdon island giant tortoise) is the source of this 2558-nucleotide long non-coding RNA. RefSeq lists it as uncharacterized. The record is from RefSeq and is a predicted model, not a curated record. Lineage: Eukaryota; Metazoa; Chordata; Testudines; Testudinidae.